This 72-nucleotide transfer RNA is filed under the name Phrynosoma platyrhinos (Desert horned lizard). RNAcentral's name for it is "tRNA-OTHER". The record is from RNAcentral. Lineage: Eukaryota; Metazoa; Chordata; Lepidosauria; Squamata; Phrynosomatidae.
AGCAGUCUGGUGUAGUGGUCUGAGCACUGGACUACAACUCUGGAGACCAGGGUUCAAUUGCCUGCUUGGCCA